RNAcentral lists this ribosomal RNA (512 nucleotides) under uncultured bacterium. RNAcentral's name for it is "partial 16S ribosomal RNA". It matches the Rfam family "Bacterial small subunit ribosomal RNA", at positions 28 to 523 of the family's 1533-position model. The record is from RNAcentral.
GACGAACGCUGGCGGCGUGCCUAAUACAUGCAAGUCGAGCGGACAGAAGGGAGCUUGCUCCCGGACGUUAGCGGCGGACGGGUGAGCAACACGUAGGUAACCUGCCCCUUAGACUGGGAUAACUCCGGGAAACCGGAGCUAAUACGGGAUAAUAAAGAGAAUUACCUGAUUUUCUUUUGAAAGACGGUUUCGGCUGUCACUAAGGGAUGGGCCUGCGGUGCAUUAGCUAGUUGGUAAGGUAACGGCUGACCAAGGCGACGAUGCGUAGCCGCACUGAGAGGGUGAUCGGCCACACUGGGACUGAGACACGGCCCAGACUACUACGGGAGGCAGCAGUAGGGAAUCUUCCGCAAUGGACGAAAGUCUGACGGAGCAACGCCGCGCGAGUGAGGAAGGCCUUCGGGUCGUAAAGCUCUGUUGUGAGGGAAGAACAAGUACCGGGGUAACUACCGGUACCUUGACGGUACCUCACCAGAAAGCCACGGCUAACUACGUGCCAGCCGCCGCAGUAA